RNAcentral lists this ribosomal RNA (253 nucleotides) under uncultured bacterium. RNAcentral describes it as "partial 16S ribosomal RNA". It matches the Rfam family "Bacterial small subunit ribosomal RNA", at positions 524 to 776 of the family's 1533-position model. The record is from RNAcentral.
UACGAAGGGGGCUAGCGUUGCUCGGAAUGACUGGGCGUAAAGGGCGCGUAGGCGGUUUGGACAGUCAGAUGUGAAAUUCCUGGGCUCAACCUGGGGGCUGCAUUUGAUACGUGCGGACUAGAGUGGGGAAGAGGGUCGUGGAAUUCCCAGUGUAGAGGUGAAAUUCGUAGAUAUUGGGAAGAACACCGGUGGCGAAGGCGGCGACCUGGUCCUUGACUGACGCUGAGGCGCGAAAGCGUGGGGAGCAAACAGG